RNAcentral lists this ribosomal RNA (826 nucleotides) under Oceanitis viscidula. RNAcentral's name for it is "eukaryotic LSU rRNA". It matches the Rfam family "Eukaryotic large subunit ribosomal RNA", at positions 76 to 948 of the family's 3401-position model. The record is from RNAcentral. Lineage: Eukaryota; Fungi; Ascomycota; Sordariomycetes; Microascales; Halosphaeriaceae.
UGCCUCGUAAGGCGAUGAACGGCAACAGCUCAAAUUUGAAAUCUGGCCCUCCGGGUCCGAAUUGUAAUUUGCAGAGGAUGCUUUUGGUUAGGUACCUUCCGAGUUCCCUGGAAUGGGACGCCAUAGAGGGUGAGAGCCCCGUACGGUCGGAUUCCGAGCCUCUGUAUAGCUCCCUCGACGAGUCGAGUAGUUUGGGAAUGCUGCUCAAAAUGGGAGGUAAACCCCUUCUAAAGCUAAAUAUUGGCCAGAGACCGAUAGCGCACAAGUAGAGUGAUCGAAAGAUGAAAAGCACUUUGGAAAGAGAGUUAAAAAGCACGUGAAAUUGUUGAAAGGGAAGCGCUUGUGACCAGACUUGCGCCUGUCAGUUCAGCCGUCCUUCUGGGCGGUGUAUUCUGUCGGCUCAGGCCAGCAUCAGUUUGUCAUUGGGGAGAAAGGUAGUGGGAAUGUGGCUCUUCGGAGUGUUAUAGCCCACUGCUAUGCCCUUUGUCAGACUGAGGACCGCGCUUUUGCAAGGAUGCUGGCGUAAUGGUUAUCAGCGACCCGUCUUGAAACACGGACCAAGGAGUCGUCCUAAUAUGCGAGUGUUAGGGUGUAAAACCCCUGCGCGUAAUGAAAGUGAACGGAGGUGGGAGCUUCGCGCACCAUCGACCGAUCCUGAUGUUUUCGGAUGGAUUUGAGUAAGAGCAUAUUGGGCCGGACCCAAAGGAGGGAACUAUGCUUGGAUAGGGUAAAGCAGAAGAACUCUGGUGGAGGCUCCCAACGGUCUGACGUGCAAAUCGAUCGUCNAAUCUGAACAUGGGGGCGAAAAACUAAUCGAACCUCUAUA